RNAcentral lists this ribosomal RNA (497 nucleotides) under uncultured bacterium. Its description in RNAcentral is "partial 16S ribosomal RNA". It matches the Rfam family "Bacterial small subunit ribosomal RNA", at positions 28 to 507 of the family's 1533-position model. The record is from RNAcentral.
GAUGAACGCUGGCGGCGUGCCUAAUACAUGCAAGUCGAGCGAACAGACGAGGAGCUUGCUCCUCUGACGUUAGCGGCGGACGGGUGAGUAACACGUGGAUAACCUACCUAUAAGACUGGGAUAACUUCGGGAAACCGGAGCUAAUACCGGAUAAUAUAUUGAACCGCAUGGUUCAAUAGUGAAAGACGGUUUUGCUGUCACUUAUAGAUGGAUCCGCGCCGCAUUAGCUAGUUGGUAAGGUAACGGCUUACCAAGGCAACGAUGCGUAGCCGACCUGAGAGGGUGAUCGGCCACACUGGAACUGAGACACGGUCCAGACUCCUACGGGAGGCAGCAGUAGGGAAUCUUCCGCAAUGGGCGAAAGCCUGACGGAGCAACGCCGCGUGAGUGAUGAAGGUCUUCGGAUCGUAAAACUCUGUUAUUAGGGAAGAACAAAUGUGUAAGUAACUAUGCACGUCUUGACGGUACCUAAUCAGAAAGCCACGGCUAUCUACGUG